Sitodiplosis mosellana (orange wheat blossom midge) is the source of this 314-nucleotide long non-coding RNA. RefSeq lists it as uncharacterized. The transcript is spliced from 3 exons. Lineage: Eukaryota; Metazoa; Arthropoda; Insecta; Diptera; Cecidomyiidae. The record is from RefSeq and is a predicted model, not a curated record.
ACAAAGGCGGAAUCUUGUGGAAUCCCCUAUGUCAAAGCUAAAUUUGCUUGCACAUUUUCCAGAAAUACAUAUGCUUGCAACGAUUUUGGUGCUCCGAUGGUUUACAGAGAUCGAAAUGAAUUAAUAGGAAUAGGAUCUUUUUACACAUUCAAGACUACAGCGUAUACGUUAGAAUCUUUCCGUAUUUAGACUGGGUUGAAUCUCAUGUCACCGGAUCUACCGAUAGCAACGGCAAUAGUGUAUUCUUUACACACAACACCAGAGUAGAAGUGGUUAUGGCAAUGGUCGUCUUCCAAAUUGUCCUCAUUCGUAUU